UGCCUAACACAUGCAAGUCGAACGGGAAGCCAUCCUUCGGGGUGGUGGAGAGUGGCGCACGGGUGAGUAACGCGUGGGAACCUACCUUUUGGUACGGAACAACCAAUGGAAACGUUGGCUAAUACCGUAUACGUCCUUUUGGGUGAGAGCCUAAUUGGAGAAAGAUUUAUCGCCGAGAGAUGGGCCCGCGUCCGAUUAGUUAGUUGGUGGGGUAACGGCCUACCAAGGCUGCGAUCGGUAGCUGGUCUGAGAGGAUGAUCAGCCACACUGGGACUGAGACACGGCCCAGACUCCUACGGGAGGCAGCAGUGGGGAAUAUUGGACAAUGGGCGCAAGCCUGAUCCAGCCAUGCCGCGUGAGUGAAGAAGGCCCUAGGGUUGUAAAGCUCUUUCACCCGCGAAGAUGAUGACGGUAGCGGGAGAAGAAGCCCCGGCUAACUCCGUGCCAGCAGCCGCGGUAAUACGGAGGGGGCAAGCGUUGUUCGGAAUUACUGGGCGUAAAGGGCGCGUAGGCGGUCUGUUGCGUCAGGUGUGAAAGCCCCGGGCUCAACCUGGGAGGUGCACUUGAUACGGGCAGGCUAGAAUCCGGGAGAGGAUG
Molecule: ribosomal RNA, 597 nt
Filed under: uncultured bacterium
Lineage: Bacteria
Description: bacterial SSU rRNA
Rfam family: Bacterial small subunit ribosomal RNA
Source: RNAcentral